GCGGGCUUAACUCAGUUGGUAGAGUGUCGGCUUCCCAAGCCGAAUGUCGCGGGUUCGAAUCCCGUAGCCCGCU
Molecule: transfer RNA, 73 nt
Filed under: Candidatus Alcyoniella australis
Lineage: Bacteria; Candidatus Lernaellota; Candidatus Lernaellaia; Candidatus Lernaellales; Candidatus Alcyoniellaceae
Description: tRNA-Gly
Rfam family: tRNA
About the family: Transfer RNA (tRNA) molecules are approximately 80 nucleotides in length. Their secondary structure includes four short double-helical elements and three loops (D, anti-codon, and T loops).
Source: RNAcentral